Ostrinia furnacalis (Asian corn borer) is the source of this 129-nucleotide long non-coding RNA. RefSeq lists it as uncharacterized. NCBI's taxonomy places the organism in Eukaryota, Metazoa, Arthropoda, Insecta, Lepidoptera, Crambidae. The record is from RefSeq and is a predicted model, not a curated record. The transcript is spliced from 2 exons.
UGCUGUUAGGCCCUGCAAUGCACACACUGAAGGAGCGCCGCCUGAUGGGCUGAUGAGGGGUGCAGCUGUGUGCAACGAACAUUGGUACGAAAAAUGAAACUUAAUGUACGCCGGAUUAUUACAUUUAUU